CCUUAUGGCCAUACCACCCUGGCAAUACCCGAUCUCAUCUGAACUCGGAAGUAAAGCGGGGUUGGGCCUGGUUAGUACUUGGAUGGGAGACCGCCUGGGAAUAUCAGGUGCUGUAAGCU
Danio rerio (zebrafish) is the source of this 119-nucleotide non-coding RNA. NCBI's taxonomy places the organism in Eukaryota, Metazoa, Chordata, Actinopteri, Cypriniformes, Danionidae. The record is from Rfam.